RNAcentral lists this ribosomal RNA (793 nucleotides) under Pluralibacter gergoviae. RNAcentral describes it as "bacterial SSU rRNA". It matches the Rfam family "Bacterial small subunit ribosomal RNA", at positions 1 to 783 of the family's 1533-position model. The record is from RNAcentral. Lineage: Bacteria; Pseudomonadati; Pseudomonadota; Gammaproteobacteria; Enterobacterales; Enterobacteriaceae.
AAAUUGAAGAGUUUGAUCAUGGCUCAGAUUGAACGCUGGCGGCAGGCCUAACACAUGCAAGUCGAACGGUAGCAGAAAGAAGCUUGCUUCUUUGCUGACGAGUGGCGGACGGGUGAGUAAUGUCUGGGAAACUGCCCGAUGGAGGGGGAUAACUACUGGAAACGGUAGCUAAUACCGCAUAACGUCUUCGGACCAAAGAGGGGGACCUUCGGGCCUCUUGCCAUCGGAUGUGCCCAGAUGGGAUUAGCUAGUAGGUGGGGUAACGGCUCACCUAGGCGACGAUCCCUAGCUGGUCUGAGAGGAUGACCAGCCACACUGGAACUGAGACACGGUCCAGACUCCUACGGGAGGCAGCAGUGGGGAAUAUUGCACAAUGGGCGCAAGCCUGAUGCAGCCAUGCCGCGUGUAUGAAGAAGGCCUUCGGGUUGUAAAGUACUUUCAGCGGGGAGGAAGGGAGUGAGGUUAAUAACCUCAUUCAUUGACGUUACCCGCAGAAGAAGCACCGGCUAACUCCGUGCCAGCAGCCGCGGUAAUACGGAGGGUGCAAGCGUUAAUCGGAAUUACUGGGCGUAAAGCGCACGCAGGCGGUCUGUCAAGUCGGAUGUGAAAUCCCCGGGCUCAACCUGGGAACUGCAUUCGAAACUGGCAGGCUUGAGUCUCGUAGAGGGGGGUAGAAUUCCAGGUGUAGCGGUGAAAUGCGUAGAGAUCUGGAGGAAUACCGGUGGCGAAGGCGGCCCCCUGGACGAAGACUGACGCUCAGGUGCGAAAGCGUGGGGAGCAAACAGGAUUAGAU